RNAcentral lists this ribosomal RNA (352 nucleotides) under Escherichia coli. RNAcentral describes it as "bacterial LSU rRNA". It matches the Rfam family "Bacterial large subunit ribosomal RNA", at positions 2596 to 2925 of the family's 2925-position model. The record is from RNAcentral. Lineage: Bacteria; Pseudomonadati; Pseudomonadota; Gammaproteobacteria; Enterobacterales; Enterobacteriaceae.
GUACGCGAGCUGGGUUUAGAACGUCGUGAGACAGUUCGGUCCCUAUCUGCCGUGGGCGCUGGAGAACUGAGGGGGGCUGCUCCUAGUACGAGAGGACCGGAGUGGACGCAUCACUGGUGUUCGGGUUGUCAUGCCAAUGGCACUGCCCGGUAGCUAAAUGCGGAAGAGAUAAGUGCUGAAAGCAUCUAAGCACGAAACUUGCCCCGAGAUGAGUUCUCCCUGAGACUUAGAGUCUCCUGAAGGAACGUUGAAGACGACGACGUUGAUAGGCCGGGUGUGUAAGCGCAGCGAUGCGUUGAGCUAACCGGUACUAAUGAACCGUGAGGCUUAACCUUACAACGCCGAAGCUGUU